UACGUAGGUGGCAAGCGUUGUCCGGAUUUACUGGGCGUAAAGAGCGCGCAGGCGGUCGUGCAAGUCACGUGUGAAAGCCCCCGGCUCAACUGGGGAGGGUCACGCGAUACUGCUCGACUCGAAGGCAGGAGAGGGAAGUGGAAUUCCCGGUGUAGUGGUGAAAUGCGUAGAUAUCGGGAGGAACACCAGUGGCGAAGGCGACUUCCUGGCCUGUUCUUGACGCUGAGGCGCGAAAGCUAGGGUAGCAAACGGG
Molecule: ribosomal RNA, 253 nt
Filed under: uncultured bacterium
Lineage: Bacteria
Description: partial 16S ribosomal RNA
Rfam family: Bacterial small subunit ribosomal RNA
Source: RNAcentral